This 467-nucleotide ribosomal RNA is filed under the name uncultured bacterium. RNAcentral describes it as "partial 16S ribosomal RNA". It matches the Rfam family "Bacterial small subunit ribosomal RNA", at positions 28 to 507 of the family's 1533-position model. The record is from RNAcentral.
GACGAACGCUGGCGGCGUGCUUAACACAUGCAAGUCGAACGGAAAGGCUCCAGCUUGCUGGAGUACUCGAGUGGCGAACGGGUGAGUAACACGUGGGUAAUCUGCCCUGCACUCUGGGAUAAGCCUGGGAAACUGGGUCUAAUACUGGAUAUGACCUUUCUCCUUGUGGGGUUUGGUGGAAAGUUUUUCGGUGUAGGAUGAGCCCGCGGCCUAUCAGCUUGUUGGUGGGGUGAUGGCCUACCAAGGCGACGACGGGUAGCCGGCCUGGGAGGGUGAUCGGCCACAUUGGGACUGAGAUACGGCCCAGACUCCUACGGGAGGCAGCAGUGGGGAAUAUUGCACAAUGGGCGGAAGCCUGAUGCAGCGACGCCGCGUGAGGGAUGACGGCCUUCGGGUUGUAAACCUCUUUCAGCAGGGACGAAGCGUAAGUGACGGUACCUGCAGAAGAAGCACCGGCUAACUAUGUG